AGCCUACGGGACGCAGCAGUGAGGAAUAUUGGUCAAUGGGCGGGAGCCUGAACCAGCCAAGCCGCGUGAGGGAAGAAGGUACAGCGUAUCGUAAACCUCUUUUGUCAGGGAACAAAGGCGGGGACUAGUCCCCGGAUGAGGGUACCUGAAGAAAAAGCAUCGGCUAACUCCGUGCCAGCAGCCGCGGUAAUACGUAGGGGGCAAGCGUUAUCCGGAUUUACUGGGUGUAAAGGGAGCGUAGACGGCAUAGCAAGUCUGAAGUGAAAGCCCGUGGCUCAACCGCGG
Molecule: ribosomal RNA, 285 nt
Filed under: uncultured bacterium
Lineage: Bacteria
Description: partial 16S ribosomal RNA
Rfam family: Bacterial small subunit ribosomal RNA
Source: RNAcentral